This 488-nucleotide ribosomal RNA is filed under the name uncultured bacterium. RNAcentral describes it as "bacterial SSU rRNA". It matches the Rfam family "Bacterial small subunit ribosomal RNA", at positions 9 to 497 of the family's 1533-position model. The record is from RNAcentral.
GAGUUUGAUCCUGGCUCAGGAUGAACGCUGGCGGCGUGCCUAACACAUGCAAGUCGAGCGAAGCGCUAUACUUGAAUUCUUCGGAAGGAAAGUAUUGUGACUGAGCGGCGGACGGGUGAGUAACGCGUGGGUAACCUGCCUCAUACAGGGGGAUAACAGUUAGAAAUGACUGCUAAUACCGCAUAAGACCACAGCACCGCAUGGUGCGGGGGUAAAAACUCCGGUGGUAUGAGAUGGACCCGCGUCUGAUUAGCUAGUUGGUAAGGUAAGGGCUUACCAAGGCGACGAUCAGUAGCCGACCUGAGAGGGUGACCGGCCACAUUGGGACUGAGACACGGCCCAAACUCCUACGGGAGGCAGCAGUGGGGAAUAUUGCACAAUGGGGGAAACCCUGAUGCAGCGACGCCGCGUGAGUGAUGAAGUAUUUCGGUAUGUAAAGCUCUAUCAGCAGGGAAGAAAAUGACGGUACCUGACUAAGAAGCACCGGC